GCUACCGUGGUGAAGUGGUAUCACACUGCCCUUCCAAGGCAGCAUCUCGGGUUCGAAUCCCGGCGGCAGCA
Non-coding RNA from Coelomomyces lativittatus, 71 nucleotides. The record is from the annotation of a GenBank genome assembly. NCBI's taxonomy places the organism in Eukaryota, Fungi, Blastocladiomycota, Blastocladiomycetes, Blastocladiales, Coelomomycetaceae.